AGAGUUUGAUUCUGGCUCAGGAUGAACGCUGGCGGCGUGCUUAACACAUGCAAGUCGAACGGAAACGUAUUGAAACCUAGUGAUAUACGUUUAGUGGCGGACGGGUGAGUAACGCGUGGGUAACCUGCCGUAUUCUGGGGGACAACAGUUGGAAACGACUGCUAAUACCGCAUAAGACCACAGAGCCGCAUGGCUCAGGGGUAAAAAACUCCGGUGGAAUACGAUGGACCCGCGUCUGAUUAGCUAGUUGGUGAGGUAACGGCCCACCAAGGCAACGAUCAGUAGCCGGCCUGAGAGGGUGAACGGCCACAUUGGGACUGAGACACGGCCCAAACUCCUACGGGAGGCAGCAGUGGGGAAUAUUGCACAAUGGGCGAAAGCCUGAUGCCAGCGACGCCGCGUGAGUGAAGAAGUAUUUCGGUAUGUAAAGCUCUAUCAGCAGGGAAGAAAAUGACGGUACCUGACUAAGAAGCCCCGGCUAACUACGUGCCAGCCGCCGC
Molecule: ribosomal RNA, 500 nt
Filed under: uncultured bacterium
Lineage: Bacteria
Description: bacterial SSU rRNA
Rfam family: Bacterial small subunit ribosomal RNA
Source: RNAcentral